AGAGUUUGAUCCUGGCUCAGGACGAACGCUGGCGGCGUGCUUAACACAUGCAAGUCGAGCGAGGAAAUUCCUUCGGGGAUUUCCUAGCGGCGGACGGGUGAGUAACACGUGGGCAACCUGCCUGAUAGAGGGGGAUAGCCUCCCGAAAGGGAGAUUAAUACCGCAUAAAGUCAAAUGAAGGCAUCUUCAAAUGACCAAAGGAGUAAUCCGCUAUCAGAUGGGCCCGCGGCGCAUUAGCUAGUUGGUGAGGUAACGGCUCACCAAGGCGACGAUGCGUAGCCGACCUGAGAGGGUGAACGGCCACAUUGGGACUGAGACACGGCCCAGACUCCUACGGGAGGCAGCAGUGGGGGAUAUUGCACAAUGGAGGAAACUCUGAUGCAGCAACGCCGCGUGAGGGAAGAAGGUUUUCGGAUUGUAAACCUCUGUCCUCAGGGACGAUAAUGACGGUACCUGAGGAGGAAGCUCCGGCUAACUACGUGCCAGCAGCCGCGGUAAUACGUAGGGAGCAAGCGUUGUCCGGAUUUACUGGGUGUAAAGGGUGCGUAGGCGGCACUGCAAGUCAGGUGUGAAAACCAUGGGCUUAACUUAUGGAUUGCACUUGAAACUGUGGUGCUUGAGUGAAGUAGAGGCAGGCGGAAUUCCCGGUGUAGCGGUGAAAUGCGUAGAGAUCGGGAGGAACACCAGUGGCGAAAGGCGGCCUGCUGGGCUUUAACUGACGCUGAAGGCACGAAAGCAUGGGUAGCAAACAGGAUUAGAUACCCUGGUAGUCCAUGCCGUAAACGAUGAUUACUAGGUGGUGGGG
This 805-nucleotide ribosomal RNA is filed under the name uncultured bacterium. RNAcentral describes it as "bacterial SSU rRNA". It matches the Rfam family "Bacterial small subunit ribosomal RNA", at positions 8 to 828 of the family's 1533-position model. The record is from RNAcentral.